This 9338-nucleotide long non-coding RNA is filed under the name Trifolium pratense (red clover). RNAcentral's name for it is "long non-coding RNA (TPRA_LNC001133)". The record is from RNAcentral. Lineage: Eukaryota; Viridiplantae; Streptophyta; Magnoliopsida; Fabales; Fabaceae.
AGAAGUUCUAAAUUCAGGCGGUGUGGCCAUGAUCCUUGCAAACUCAGAAGCUACUGGAUUCAGUACAUUUGCUAUCGCGCAUGUUCUGCCGGCUGUUGAUGUGAGUUAUGCAGCUGGUUUAAUAAUCAAAGAUUACAUAAACUCAACCUACAAUCCAACCGCAACAGNNNNNNNNNNNNNNNNNNNNNNNNNNNNNNNNNNNNNNNNNNNNNNNNNNNNNNNNNNNNNNNNNNNNNNNNNNNGGGCUAUUUCUGUAGACAACGAACUCCCACCUUAUAACAUUAUUUCCGGUACUUCAAUGUCUUGUCCUCAUCUUAGUGGUAUUGCUGCAUUGAUUAAAAGCUCUCACCCUGAUUGGUCACCGGCCGCCAUAAAAUCAGCAAUACUGACAACUGCUAAUACUCUCAACCUUGGUGGGAAUCCUAUAACGGAUCAAAGACAUUUACCUGCUGAUGUUUUCGCUACUGGUGCAGGACAUGUUAAUCCUGUUAAAGCUAAUGAUCCUGGUCUUGUUUAUGAUAUUCAGCCUGAAUAUUAUGUUCCUUAUUUGUGUGGUUUGGGUUAUUCUGAUAAAGAGAUUGAAGUUAUUGUUCAGUGGAAAGUGAAGUGUUCUGAUGUGAAAAGUAUACCAGAAGCACAACUGAACUAUCCGUCUUUUUCGAUUCUGUUAGGGUCUGAAUCGCAGUUUUAUACAAGAACUUUGACUAAUGUUGGACCAGUAAAUGCUACUUAUAGAGUUGAACUUGAAGUGCCUUUGGCUUUAGGUAUGAAUGUUAAUCCUAGUGUGAUAUCAUUUAGUGAGAUUAAUGAGAAGAUUAGUUACUCGGUGGAUUUCUUACCGCAAGUUAAGGAAAAUCGAGGUAACCAUACAUUUGCUCAGGGUUCUCUCACUUGGAUAUCUGAUAAACAUGCUGUUAGGGUACCUAUAUCUGUGAUUUUCAAGUGAUACAUAAAGGGAGAGUGUGAUGAUAUGAUAGUUAUGAUACUCUAGAAAUAAAUAAGGGAAUGGAAUAUAUUGGUUUAGAAAAUUCAAGAGAUACUAAUUUACUAAGAAGCUCCUUUGUACAAGUUUAUUAGCAAUUCACUUGGCACUUAUAUUUGUUAUUGAAAAAACAUUAUUAUUAUAAUUUUUUUUUUGAAAAGAAACAUUAUUAUUAUAAUAAGUUAUCUUUCUUUUUAUAUAUAAGCCAUAUAAUGUUAUCAACAAAAGAGAUGUUGAAUGAAAUAUCAACAGCAUAGUAAGAAGUUCCUUUGUGUGGAUUGGAUCUUCUGGUUCUCUUGGGUCAUGUGAGUAGCUUGUGGAUCAGCACGUUGGGUUUUGAGCAACCACACAAGUGAAUUGAACACCACAUUUUAAUUCAAAACCUUGAGUCAUUGAGUAUAUGAGUCCUCUUUGAAUUGUGGGAUUUUCUAAGAAUUCCAAGUCUAAAGGUACAUUCAUCCACCUGGUGAAAUAUACUUGUUAAAUUUUCACUCAUUCUGGAUGUUAUCAUGGUAUCAUAGUAGUGAAUUAGUUUGUGUUCUUUAAGUGUGAAGACUCAUGGUUCAAAAGUUCGAAUGAUGAUAGCAUUACACACGUAUACUAUUAACGUACCGACAUCACCAUGCAAAUUACGUUAAUUUAUUUUUAAUUUUCUAUCCAACAAUAUAAAUAUAACUUAUUAUACUAUUAGAUGCACCCUUUAUAUGAAUGAUUUUAAUAUCCCUCCUUUAAUAAGUUUGAAUAAAUCACAAUGUCAUUCUAUUUCUAUCUUUUAAUUAUACAUCAUAGACAUUGAAAUAUUGAAAUGUAAUCUUGUGGCUGCAAAAUAAUGUAGGAAAAGCCUUUUAUAUUUGGAGAAAAGCAAAUUAAUAGUGCGAGUGAGUGUUGCAUCAGCAAAACUAAUACAGUAUUGAGUGCACGGAGGUAUGCAUAAUUGGUGCUACUACUUUACAUGUUUAAAUUUGAUUUGUUAUUUCCAUUCUUAACUGAAAUGUUCCAGGAGCUUGGUAAUGCGGUAACGGCAAGUCAGAAACUAAAACUAGGCAAUUUUGCUAAAGAAUUUAGUCAUGCAACAUCAGAAUUUUCUCGGCUAAUUUGAGAGCCGAUCGACUUAGACAUAACCAAACCUGAUAGGGGUCAACACUUAGAUCUUCUCAGAUUGUUCUUUCUGUACAAAGAGUCAUACAAAAUUACUUUGUUAGAACAUAAGUGAGCAUAGAUUUCAAAGUGCAUCAUUUGUAUCUCUUGUAUAGAUUACUUUGUUGAAUUAAUGAAAUUCAUUGUUAAUUAUGAGUUAUUAAGCAGAGUGAGUACUUAGCUUAGAGUUAUUAAGCAGAGUAACUUAAGUAGUUGCUUUCACACAAUGUAAUGAUCCUUUGUACUCCCCUCAUGACAGAACAAUUAUAAUACUACUAGAAAAAGAAAAAAAUUUGUUGAAGUUGUCUUUUUGUGGAUAAACUUUUCCAAGUCAAAAACAACAUAUGGCAAUGUUAGGGAGAUAUGUCCAGAAAAAUAGAUGUACCAUGUAUAAUCUAACAACAAAAAGACCAUACAAAUUAACAUCAAAUAUAUAGCGGGCAUUACUAUAAUUACUAUAAGUGUUGCUUUUUUUUUAAAAAAAAANNNNNNNNNNNNNNNNNNAAAAAAAAAAAAAAAAAAACUAUAAGUGUUGCUUAUUUCAAAUUACCUAAAAAAUCUUUUGUCACUCAUAUUUACGGAUUUACCCUUCAUUGAAAACGAAUUAGCCGUCCCAAGCCAGCACAAUGUGUGUCCUUGUUUUCCUUACUAUGUAGUAAGUAAUUAAAAUAAAACUAUGGCCAUUAUCCCAUUUUGUUUUCUAUUGUAUAUAUAUAUAUAUAUAUAUAUAUAUAUAUAUAUAUAUAUAUACACGAGCAUGGCACUAGGAAAAUCACAAGCAUUUCUUUUCUGUAUCUUCAUCAAAUCAUGAUAAAAACCAACCACACAAUGAAGCUUGCAUUGGUUGUUGGUCUCAUUUUCAUUCUCUGCAGCAUCAACCAAAUUACAUCAGUACUUGCUGCUGCAGAGGUGAAUCAAGAACAUGAUCAAAAUUUAAUGACAUACAUUGUUCAUGUCAAAAAAUCAGAUAAUGUUGCUUCUUUUCAAUCCGAAGAUUUCCAUAACUGGUACCAUUCAUUUCUCCCACAAAAUUUUCCUCACAAAGAGAGAAUGGUUUUCACUUACCGCAACGUAGCCUCUGGAUUCGCCGUGAAGCUUACACCAGAAGAAGCCAAAUCUCUUCAAGAAAAAGGUGAAGUUGUGUCAGCAAGACCUGAAAGAACACUUUCAUUACACACAACUCAUACUCCAACUUUCUUAGGGUUAAAACAAGGACAAGGAUUGUGGAGCGAUGAUAACCUCGGAAAAGGCGUAAUAAUUGGACUCAUAGACACCGGAAUAUACCCUUUUCAUCCAUCAUUCAACGACGAAGGAAUGCCACCGCCACCCGCAAAAUGGAAAGGCCACUGUGAAUUCACUGGUGGCACAACAUGCAACAAUAAGCUCAUAGGUGCAAGAAAUCUAGACAAAAGCGCAAUUCAAGAGCCUCCAUUUGAAACCUUAAUAUUCCAUGGAACACACACUGCUGCAGAGGCAGGAGGAAGAUUCAUAGAAGAUGCAAGUGUUUUCGGUAAUGCUAAAGGUGUAGCAGCUGGUAUGGCACCUAAUGCUCACAUAGCAAUGUACAAAGUUUGUGCUAGUGGCACUCGAGAAUGCUACGAAAGUUCUAUCUUAGCUGCAAUGGAUAUAGCUAUUGAAGAUGGUGUAGAUGUUCUUUCACUCUCUCUUGGUUUGGAUUCUACUGUUCCAUUUUUUGAAGACCCUAUUGCAAUUGGUGCAUUUGCUGCUACACAAAAAGGAGUUUUUGUUAGUUGUUCUGCUGCAAACUCCGGCCCUGAAUACAGCACUCUCUCAAAUGAAGCUCCUUGGAUACUCACAGUAGGUGCAAGCACAAUUGAUCGAAAAAUUGUAGCAUCAGCUAAAAUAGGAAAUGGAGAUGAAUUUGAAGGUGAAACAUUAUUCCAACCCAAAGACUUUCCUCAACAAUUAUUGCCACUUGUGUAUGCAGGUUCAAAUGGUAUUUCAAGCCAGAACCAGAAUCAAUCCUUCUGUCUUCCAGGUUCCUUAAAGAACAUUGAUGUAAGAGGCAAAGUAGUGUUGUGUGAUAUAGGUGGAGGUGUUUCAAGUGUUGUCAAAGGACAAGAAGUUCUAAAUUCAGGCGGUGUGGCGAUGAUCCUUGCAAACUCAGAAGCUAUUGGAUUCAGUACAUUUGCAAUCGCGCAUGUUCUGCCGGCUGUUGAUGUGAGUUAUGCAGCUGGUUUAAUAAUCAAAGAUUACAUAAACUCAACCUACAAUCCAACCGCAACAGUACUAUUCAAAGGAACNNNNNNNNNNNNNNNNNNNNNNNNNNNNNNNNNNNNNNNNNNNAACAUUCUAGCUGCUUGGGCUAUUUCUGUAGACAACGAACUCCCACCUUAUAACAUUAUUUCCGGUACUUCAAUGUCUUGUCCUCAUCUUAGUGGUAUUGCUGCAUUGAUCAAAAGCUCUCACCCUGAUUGGUCACCGGCCGCUAUAAAAUCGGCAAUCAUGACAACUGCUAAUACUCUCAACCUCGGCGGUACUCCUAUAACGGAUCAAAGACUUUUACCUGCUGAUGUUUUCGCUACUGGUGCGGGACAUGUUAAUCCUGUUAAAGCUAAUGAUCCUGGUCUUGUUUAUGAUAUUCAACCGGAAGAUUAUGUUCCUUAUUUGUGUGGUUUGGGUUAUUCUGAUAAAGAGAUUGGAGUUAUUGUUCAGUGGAAAGUGAAGUGUUCUGAUGUGAAAAGUAUACCAGAAGCACAACUGAACUAUCCGUCUUUUUCGAUUCUGUUGGGGUCUGAGUCACAGUUUUAUACAAGAACUUUGACUAAUGUUGGACCAGUGAAUGCUACUUAUAGAGUUGAACUGGAAGUGCCUUUGGCUUUAGGUAUGAGUGUUAAUCCUAGUGUGAUAACAUUUAGUGAGAUUAAUGAGAAGAUUAGUUACUCGGUCGAUUUUUUACCGCAAGUCAAAGAAAAUCGAGGUAACCAUACUUUUGCUCAGGGUUCUCUCACUUGGAUAUCUGAUAAACAUGCUGUCAGGAUCCCCAUAUCUGUGAUUUUCAAGUGAUAUUUAUAAGUAGGGAGAGGGUGUUGAUAUGUGUUGAGAUUAUUAGAUUUAUUAUAUUAAGAUUUGUUAGUGUCCUUUAGCAUUAUGAUAUGAUAUUAUUCCUAUUUAGAUUACAUUUUAUAUGCAUAUAAUAAAUAUUUUGUUCAACCCUUCUUAUGGUUAAUGAGAAAUAUUCAUAUUCAAGUUGGUAUCUACUAUCUAGAGCAAAGAUUUUCUUUCGGUUCAGCUUUCGUCGAGGCUAAUCGUUGUUUUUUUUAGUUUGGUUGUGUUGUCGAGCAGCAUAAGAGCCACUACCACCACAACCUCCAUAGACACGCGCUAGUUGUCUUAUGAAGCGCUUCUUUCAUACGCCAAGCCGUGCACCAUCGCAUAGUUUUGCGCAUAUCGAUGGCUUGAGCCACAUCCACCGCCUUCCCGCCACGGGAGACACUCCUAAGUCAUUUAACUUACCACUUUUUGAUGUUUUUUAUUUGUUUGUUGCAAAUUUGUCUUCUGAAGUCAUUCAAAGUUAUUUCGGGUUAACAUUUUGGUGGUUGUUCAAUAGACUUCAUCUCCAGCUAUCCAGGUAGAUAAAAGCAAGAAUCCAUGUAAGUUCAUCUUCAUGAUCCAACACGGCUUCCCCUUUCUGUCACAAAUUGAUAGACAAGAGAUGACGAGUCAAAAUUGCACCAGUUGAUAUUUAGCUGACUUACUACAUAUUAAACUAUGUGCAGUAGUGUCAUAUCACAAUUACAAUAGAUGAGAGCUGAAUUGACUCAGAUAAAGUCAACCAAUUAAACCAUAAUAGAGUAUAAACCUAGGAAUAACUCUUAUACUUGUGUAAAAUUAAACAUAUGAGACCAAAUUAAAUCAAAGAUUUUUUAUAAUGCAUAAUGCAUGAAGAAAAAAUAACUUACUAUGAGUAUUUCGUUAAUGUCUUUAAAAAUAAAAGUAGUCAAAAUUACUAUGUGGUAAAACAUUACUUAUGUUUAACUUAAAUAUAUGUGAAUGAAUUUCAUUGGUACCACAUCAGCAUAAGACAACUACCCUCACUUUAUGUGAGGGUUAAUUAGAAAAAACCUUAAAUAUUUUGACACCCUGCUCAAGUUGGUGCAUAUACAUGUCCUUGCUUAUCAAAUAUUGAAAACUUGUUCUUGCUAAGCUAUUGGUCAAAAUAUAUGAUAUGUAUUGAUGUAUGCUAAUAUUAAGACACAAAAGUUAGACAGAGUAAAGUGACGAUCAAUUUUAGUUAAUAUGUUUUGUUCAAUCAUGUUGUCACAAUAUAAUUGUCAAUAGAAAUUCUUUGAGCCAUUACCCUAAACUUAGCCCCUGGAAUAUGGACUGCUUCUUGCAACUACUAUUUGCUUCUUACUCUGCAAGUUAUCAAGUUUUCCCAUACAUACGUACAAUAAUCUAAAGUAGACUCUUUUUUUUUUUNNNNNNNNNNNNUCUGCGUGCAACUGUAGAAACUAAACUUUCGAGUCUUGUGGAACCCAAAUGAGAGACAAACUAUUGCAUGCUCAAGCCUAGAACUAACGCAAGACCUAUUGGUUAAGCUAGAAGAGACCCGCACCAUCUCAUCUAAGUGUUUUUGCCACCUAAAGUAGACUUUCUAUCCAUUAAAAGAGUAAUUUUAAACAUUCAAAAACUUAGAUAUCCAUGUAUUGUUAAAGAUUUUAACAUAAUAAAAGUCACAUUUAUUUUCAAAAAGAUAUCUCUCAAAAUUUGUGUUUAUUGAAAUUUUAUCUUCUAAAAAAAAUCGUAGCAAAUUGAUGAAAUAAUUAAAAUAUUUUUUAUAAGAAAGAAACUAUUCAAACAAAUUUCUCAUCUAGAACAUAUUUUUAGAAAAAUUCUUUCAAACAAGUUUUAAUAUAGAGAUGAAAUACUAUAAAAUAAUUUAUUUUUCAAAAGUUGUAACAAACAUAUUCAUACUGGUCGUAAAAAAAUAUGUUGAAUUUCUCUAAUAUAAUACUACAAAACUUGUCUUUUUUGUUGAUAAACUUUUCCAAACCAAAAACAAUAUAUGACAAUGUUAGCCAGAUAUGUCCAGAAAAUGAAUGUACCAAUGUACCAUUUUUGUAUUUUGUGAAACACCAAUGUACCAUGUACAAUUUAGCUAUUAGCAUUGGACAGUCCAUACAAAUUAACAUCAAAUAUAUAGCGAGCAUUACUAUGAAAGUUGCUUAAUUCAAAUUACCUAAACAAAACAAGACUUGAAUACGAGAGGUUGCGGUUCGAGCUCCGCUAAUAUUUUUGAACAAAGCAAAAUUUAAAUAUAUUGUAAGUACAAAAACUCCUUAAAUUAGAUGUGUCUCAGUGUCGCACUGUCACGUGUUAGUGUAUGUUUCGCGUCUGAUGUCCGUGUCUGUGCUUCAUAAGUACUAUUUGAACCUUAAGGUCUUCACAAUCUUGACAUGGGGAACCAUCCCCUCACCAUAAAUUUUAUUUUAACAAAAAAAAUUAAAAAAUCUUUUAAUUCUCUUAAGCCGUCCUAAGCCAGCCAGCCAGCACACAAUGCAUUUCCUUGUUCUCCUUCCUAUGUAGUAAGUAAUUAAAAUAAAACUAAAACUAUGGCCAUUUUGCUAUUUUGUUUUCUAUUGUAUAUAUCUAUCUCUAAUCUAUCUAUAUAUAUACCAUGUGCAUGGCACUAGGAAAAUCACAAGCAAUUCUUUCUGUAUCAUUGUAAAAACCAAUUACACAAUGAAGCUUGCAUUUCUUGUUGGUCUCAUUUUCAUUCUCUGCAGCAUCAACCAAAUUACAUCAGUACUUGCUGCAGAGGUGAAUCAAGAACAUGAUGAACAGAACUUGAUGACAUACAUUGUACAUGUCAAAAAAUCAGAAAAUGUUGCUUCUUUUCAAUCAGAAGAUUUUCAUAACUGGUACCAUUCAUUUCUCCCACAAACUUUUGCUCACAAAGAGAGAAUGGUUUUCACUUACCGCAACGUAGCCUCUGGAUUCGCCGUGAAGCUCACACCAGAAGAAGCCAAGUCUCUUCAAGAAAAAGGUGAAAUUGUGUCAGCAAGACCUGAAAGAAUACUUUCAUUACACACAACUCAUACUCCAACUUUCUUGGGGCUCAAACAAGGACAAGGAUUGUGGAGUGAUGAUAACCUUGGAAAAGGCGUCAUCAUUGGAGUCAUAGACACAGGAAUAUACCCUUUUCAUCCAUCAUUCAACGACGAAGGAAUGCCACCACCACCUGCAAAAUGGAAAGGACAUUGUGAAUUCACUGGCGAAAGAACAUGCAACAAUAAGCUCAUAGGUGCAAGAAAUUUAGUCAAAAGCGCAAUUCAAGAGCCACCAUUCGAAAAUUUCUUCCAUGGAACACACACCGCUGCAGAGGCUGCAGGAAGAUUCGUAGAGGAUGCAAGUGUUUUUGGAAAUGCUAAAGGUGUAGCAGCUGGUAUGGCACCUAAUGCUCACCUAGCAAUUUACAAAGUGUGUAAUGGCAAAAUUGGAUGCACUGAAAGUGCUAUUUUAGCUGCAAUGGAUAUUGCUAUUGAAGAUGGUGUAGAUGUUCUUUCACUCUCUCUUGGUUUGGGUUCUCUUUCAUUUUUUGAAGACCCUAUUGCAAUUGGUGCUUUUGCUGCUACACAAAAAGGAGUUUUUGUUAGUUGUUCUGCUGCAAACUCCGGCCCCGAAUACAGUACUCUGUCAAAUGAAGCUCCUUGGAUCCUCACAGUUGGUGCUAGCACAAUUGACAGAAAAAUUGCAGCAUCAGCAAAGCUAGGAAAUGGAGAUGAAUUUUAUGGUGAAACAUUGUUCCAACCCAAAGACUUUUCUCAACAAUUGUUGCCACUUGUUUAUGCAGGUUCAAAUGGAAAUUCAAACCAGAACCAGAAUCAGUCUUUCUGUCUUCCAGGUUCCUUAAAGAACAUUGAUGUAAGUGGUAAAGUAGUGGUGUGUGAUAUAGGUGGAGGUGUUCCAGCUGUUGUCAAAGGACAAGAAGUUCUAAAUUCUGGCGGUGUGGCAAUGAUCGUUGCAAACUCAGAAGCUAUUGGAUUCAGCACUUUCGCUAUUCCUCAUGUUCUUCCAGCUGUUGAAGUGAGUUAUGCAGCUGGUUUAAUAAUCAAAGGUUACAUUAACUCAACCUACAAUCCAACAGCAACAGUACUAUUCAAAGGAACAGUAAUCGGUGAUUCACUUGCUCCAACUGUUGUUUCAUUUUCUUCUAGAGGACCAAGUCAAGAAAGUCCUGGGAUUCUAAAACCAG